AUUGAACGCUGGCGGCAGGCCUAAUACAUGCAAGUCGAACGGUAACAUAAAAGAAGCUUGCUUCUUUUGAUGACGAGUGGCGGACGGGUGAGUAAUAUUUGGGAAACUACCUGAUAGAGGGGGACAACAGUUGGAAACGACUGCUAAUACCGCAUAAAGCCUAAGGGUGAAAGCAGCAAUGCGCUAUCAGAUGUGCCCAAACGGGGNUUAGCUAGUAGGUGAGGUAAAGGCUCACCUAGGCGACGAUCUCUAGCUGGUCUGAGAGGAUGAUCAGCCACAUUGGGACUGAGACACGGCCCAGACUCCUACGGGAGGCAGCAGUAGGGAAUAUUGCACAAUGGGGGGAAACCCUGAUGCAGCGACGCCGCGUGGAGGAAGAAGGUCUUCGGGAUUGUAAACUCCUAGUUGUUGAGGAAGACAAUGACGGUACUCAACAAGGAAGUGACGGCUAACGUACGUG
RNAcentral lists this ribosomal RNA (460 nucleotides) under uncultured bacterium. RNAcentral's name for it is "bacterial SSU rRNA". It matches the Rfam family "Bacterial small subunit ribosomal RNA", at positions 30 to 507 of the family's 1533-position model. The record is from RNAcentral.